RNAcentral lists this ribosomal RNA (357 nucleotides) under uncultured bacterium. Its description in RNAcentral is "bacterial SSU rRNA". It matches the Rfam family "Bacterial small subunit ribosomal RNA", at positions 493 to 853 of the family's 1533-position model. The record is from RNAcentral.
ACGCUCGACAGUGUCAGCAGCCGCGGUAAUACGGAGGAUGCGAGCGUUAUCCGGAUUUAUUGGGUUUAAAGGGUGCGUAGGUGGUCUUUUAAGUCAGCGGUGAAAGUUUGUGGCUCAACCAUAAAACUGCCAUUGAAACUGGGAGACUUGAGUAUGUUUGAGGUAGGCGGAAUGCGUGGUGUAGCGGUGAAAUGCAUAGAUAUCACGCAGAACUCCGAUUGCGAAGGCAGCUUGCCAAGCCAUAACUGACACUGAAGCACGAAAGCGUGGGUAUCAAACAGGAUUAGAUACCCUGGUAGUCCACGCAGUAAACGAUGAUUACUAGGAGUUUGCGAUAUAAUGUAAAGCUCUACAGCG